Molecule: long non-coding RNA, 234 nt
Filed under: Capsicum annuum
Lineage: Eukaryota; Viridiplantae; Streptophyta; Magnoliopsida; Solanales; Solanaceae
Description: long non-coding RNA (CANN_LNC016496)
Source: RNAcentral
CCAUAUCCUAACUUUUUUUUUAACAUUUAACAAACAAUUCAAAGCCACAAUUUUCUUUAUUCACUUUAUUAAGUUUUUCAAGAUAUUUUCUACCUAUAAGCCCUUCUUAGCCCCUCACUCAUCCAAAUUUUUUUUUCAAGUUCUAUGGGCUAGGCUAUUCAACUUUAUCAUCUAGCAUCUCUUGUCUUUUAAGAACAUAUAUUGACAACUUUACAUACACCUUUCUUGUCUUUU